This 1120-nucleotide ribosomal RNA is filed under the name Bacillus amyloliquefaciens. Its description in RNAcentral is "bacterial SSU rRNA". It matches the Rfam family "Bacterial small subunit ribosomal RNA", at positions 163 to 1269 of the family's 1533-position model. The record is from RNAcentral. Lineage: Bacteria; Bacillati; Bacillota; Bacilli; Caryophanales; Bacillaceae.
CUAAUACCGGAUGCUUGUUUGAACCGCAUGGUUCAGACAUAAAAGGUGGCUUCGGCUACCACUUACAGAUGGACCCGCGGCGCAUUAGCUAGUUGGUGAGGUAACGGCUCACCAAGGCGACGAUGCGUAGCCGACCUGAGAGGGUGAUCGGCCACACUGGGACUGAGACACGGCCCAGACUCCUACGGGAGGCAGCAGUAGGGAAUCUUCCGCAAUGGACGAAAGUCUGACGGAGCAACGCCGCGUGAGUGAUGAAGGUUUUCGGAUCGUAAAGCUCUGUUGUUAGGGAAGAACAAGUGCCGUUCAAAUAGGGCGGCACCUUGACGGUACCUAACCAGAAAGCCACGGCUAACUACGUGCCAGCAGCCGCGGUAAUACGUAGGUGGCAAGCGUUGUCCGGAAUUAUUGGGCGUAAAGGGCUCGCAGGCGGUUUCUUAAGUCUGAUGUGAAAGCCCCCGGCUCAACCGGGGAGGGUCAUUGGAAACUGGGGAACUUGAGUGCAGAAGAGGAGAGUGGAAUUCCACGUGUAGCGGUGAAAUGCGUAGAGAUGUGGAGGAACACCAGUGGCGAAGGCGACUCUCUGGUCUGUAACUGACGCUGAGGAGCGAAAGCGUGGGGAGCGAACAGGAUUAGAUACCCUGGUAGUCCACGCCGUAAACGAUGAGUGCUAAGUGUUAGGGGGUUUCCGCCCCUUAGUGCUGCAGCUAACGCAUUAAGCACUCCGCCUGGGGAGUACGGUCGCAAGACUGAAACUCAAAGGAAUUGACGGGGGCCCGCACAAGCGGUGGAGCAUGUGGUUUAAUUCGAAGCAACGCGAAGAACCUUACCAGGUCUUGACAUCCUCUGACAAUCCUAGAGAUAGGACGUCCCCUUCGGGGGCAGAGUGACAGGUGGUGCAUGGUUGUCGUCAGCUCGUGUCGUGAGAUGUUGGGUUAAGUCCCGCAACGAGCGCAACCCUUGAUCUUAGUUGCCAGCAUUCAGUUGGGCACUCUAAGGUGACUGCCGGUGACAAACCGGAGGAAGGUGGGGAUGACGUCAAAUCAUCAUGCCCCUUAUGACCUGGGCUACACACGUGCUACAAUGGGCAGAACAAAGGGCAGCGAAACCGCGAGGUUAAGCC